GAUGAACGCUGGCGGCGUGCCUAAUACAUGCAAGUCGAGCGAACGGAUAAGGAGCUUGCUCCUUUGAAGUUAGCGGCGGACGGGUGAGUAACACGUGGGUAACCUACCUAUAAGACUGGAAUAACUUCGGGAAACCGGAGCUAAUGCCGGAUAACAUUUGGAACCGCAUGGUUCUAAAGUAAAAGAUGGUUUUGCUAUCACUUAUAGAUGGACCCGCGCCGUAUUAGCUAGUUGGUAAGGUAACGGCUUACCAAGGCAACGAUACGUAGCCGACCUGAGAGGGUGAUCGGCCACACUGGAACUGAGACACGGUCCAG
RNAcentral lists this ribosomal RNA (317 nucleotides) under uncultured bacterium. RNAcentral describes it as "bacterial SSU rRNA". It matches the Rfam family "Bacterial small subunit ribosomal RNA", at positions 28 to 334 of the family's 1533-position model. The record is from RNAcentral.